UCCCGCCGCCCCCGCCCGCCUACGGGAGGAGCAGUGGGGAAUAUUGCGCAAUGGGCGAAAGCCUGACGCAGCGACGCCGCGUGAGGGACGAAGGUCUUCGGAUUGUAAACCUCUUUCAGCAGGGACGAAGCGAAAGUGACUGUACCUGCAGAAGAAGCACCGGCUAACUACGG
RNAcentral lists this ribosomal RNA (173 nucleotides) under uncultured Actinomycetes bacterium. RNAcentral's name for it is "uncultured actinobacterium partial 16S ribosomal RNA". It matches the Rfam family "Bacterial small subunit ribosomal RNA", at positions 320 to 506 of the family's 1533-position model. The record is from RNAcentral. Lineage: Bacteria; Bacillati; Actinomycetota; Actinomycetes.